AGAGUUUGAUCAUGGCUCAGAUUGAACGCUGGCGGCAGGCCUAACACAUGCAAGUCGAACGGUAACAGGAAGCAGCUUGCUGCUUCGCUGACGAGUGGCGGACGGGUGAGUAAUGUCUGGGAAGCUGCCUGAUGGAGGGGGAUAACUACUGGAAACGGUAGCUAAUACCGCAUAAUGUCGCAAGACCAAAGAGGGGGACCUUCGGGCCUCUUGCCAUCGGAUGUGCCCAGAUGGGAUUAGCUUGUUGGUGGGGUAACGGCUCACCAAGGCGACGAUCCCUAGCUGGUCUGAGAGGAUGACCAGCCACACUGGAACUGAGACACGGUCCAGACUCCUACGGGAGGCAGCAGUGGGGAAUAUUGCACAAUGGGCGCAAGCCUGAUGCAGCCAUGCCGCGUGUAUGAAGAAGGCCUUCGGGUUGUAAAGUACUUUCAGCGGGGAGGAAGGGAGUAAAGUUAAUACCUUUGCUCAUUGACGUUACCCGCAGAAGAAGCACCGGCUAACUCCGUGCCAGCAGCCGCGGUAAUACGGAGGGUGCAAGCGUUAAUCGGAAUUACUGGGCGUAAAGCGCACGCAGGCGGUUUGUUAAGUCAGAUGUGAAAUCCCCGGGCUCAACCUGGGAACUGCAUCUGAUACUGGCAAGUUUGAGUCUCGUAGAGGGGGGUAGAAUUCCAGGUGUAGCGGUGAAAUGCGUAGAGAUCUGGAGGAAUACCGGUGGCGAAGGCGGCCCCCUGGACGAAGACUGACGCUCAGGUGCGAAAGCGUGGGGAGCAAACAGGAUUAGAUACCCUGGUAGUCCACGCCGUAAACGAUGUCGACUUGGAGGUUGUGCCCUUGAGGCGUGGCUUCCGGAGCUAACGCGUUAAGUCGACCGCCUGGGGAGUACGGCCGCAAGGUUAAAACUCAAAUGAAUUGACGGGGGCCCGCACAAGCGGUGGAGCAUGUGGUUUAAUUCGAUGCAACGCGAAGAACCUUACCUGGUCUUGACAUCCACGGAAGUUUUCAGAGAUGAGAAUGUGCCUUCGGGAACCGUGAGACAGGUGCUGCAUGGCUGUCGUCAGCUCGUGUUGUGAAAUGUUGGGUUAAGUCCCGCAACGAGCGCAACCCUUAUCCUUUGUUGCCAGCGGUCCGGCCGGGAACUCAAAGGAGACUGCCAGUGAUAAACUGGAGGAAGGUGGGGAUGACGUCAAGUCAUCAUGGCCCUUACGACCAGGGCUACACACGUGCUACAAUGGCGCAUACAAAGAGAAGCGACCUCGCGAGAGCAAGCGGACCUCAUAAAGUGCGUCGUAGUCCGGAUUGGAGUCUGCAACUCGACUCCAUGAAGUCGGAAUCGCUAGUAAUCGUGGAUCAGAAUGCCACGGUGAAUACGUUCCCGGGCCUUGUACACACCGCCCGUCACACCAUGGGAGUGGGUUGCAAAAGAAGUAGGUAGCUUAACCUUCGGGAGGGCGCUUACCACUUUGUGAUUCAUGACUGGGGUGAAGUCGUAACAAGGUAACCGUAGGGGAACCUGCGGUUG
This 1522-nucleotide ribosomal RNA is filed under the name metagenome. RNAcentral describes it as "bacterial SSU rRNA". It matches the Rfam family "Bacterial small subunit ribosomal RNA". The record is from RNAcentral.